AGGGGCCUGAGUGAUAGACUCCCGAGCUUUCAUCUCGCCCAGCGAGUGUAAAUAGCUGUCAUGUUUGAUUGGCGGUCUGACGUGCGCACGAGAUUCCCUGGAACAGAGGAGCAAAAUUCAGCGAGGGCCCAAUGCAUGCUGGUUCAGCUGUCUUCAAGGCUAAGAGGACGUUCUCCGCUUCUUGACCAAUGACCACUGGACCCCACAACCCAGUAAAGACACACAGCAAUUAAGGUCCUCUGGAGGAAAGAGAGAAGAAGAGACUGCAACUGGCUAACCAUUAGCUGCUAACAAUGCUAACGUCAGAAUCUUCUUCAAAGCUUCCUGUUGCUGCUAAGCUAAAGAUUUUCCGGUCUGCGACUGCAUGCAAAAGCUGUUUGAAAAUGGAAAAUUAAUGGUUAUUGUAAUGAAUGUUGACUUAGCGGAUCAGAAAAGCAGGAGCGAGACCGUC
Molecule: long non-coding RNA, 451 nt
Organism: Poecilia latipinna (sailfin molly)
Lineage: Eukaryota; Metazoa; Chordata; Actinopteri; Cyprinodontiformes; Poeciliidae
Exons: 4
Source: RefSeq, a predicted model, not a curated record